RNAcentral lists this ribosomal RNA (790 nucleotides) under uncultured bacterium. RNAcentral describes it as "bacterial SSU rRNA". It matches the Rfam family "Bacterial small subunit ribosomal RNA", at positions 40 to 832 of the family's 1533-position model. The record is from RNAcentral.
CGGUAAGCUUUAACAUGCAAGUCGAACGGCAGCACGGACUUCGGUCUGGUGGCGAGUGGCGAACGGGUGAGUAAUACAUCGGAACGUGCCCAAUCGUGGGGGAUAACGUAGCGAAAGCUACGCUAAUACCGCAUACGAUCUAAGGAUGAAAGCGGGGGAUCGCAAGACCUCGCGCGAAUGGAGCGGCCGAUGGCAGAUUAGGUAGUUGGUAGGGUAAAGGCCUACCAAGCCGACGAUCUGUAGCUGGUCUGAGAGGAUGAUCAGCCACACUGGGACUGAGACACGGCCCAGACUCCUACGGGAGGCAGCAGUGGGGAAUUUUGGACAAUGGACGCAAGUCUGAUCCAGCCAUUCCGCGUGCAGGAUGAAGGCCCUCGGGUUGUAAACUGCUUUUGUACAGAACGAAAAGGCUCUGGUUAAUACCUGGGGCUCAUGACGGUACUGUAAGAAUAAGCACCGGCUAACUACGUGCCAGCAGCCGCGGUAAUACGUAGGGUGCAAGCGUUAAUCGGAAUUACUGGGCGUAAAGCGUGCGCAGGCGGUGAUGUAAGACAGAGGUGAAAUCCCCGGGCUCAACCUGGGAACUGCCUUUGUGACUGCAUCGCUGGAGUACGGCAGAGGGGGAUGGAAUUCCGCGUGUAGCAGUGAAAUGCGUAGAUAUGCGGAGGACACCGAUGGCGAGCAUCCCCUGGGCCUGUACUGACGCUCAUGCACGAAGCGGUGGGGGAGCAAACAGGAUUAGAUACCCUGUAGUCCACGCCCUAAACGAUUUCACUGAUGUUGGGUCUUC